This 393-nucleotide ribosomal RNA is filed under the name uncultured eukaryote. RNAcentral's name for it is "SSU rRNA". It matches the Rfam family "Eukaryotic small subunit ribosomal RNA", at positions 587 to 972 of the family's 1831-position model. The record is from RNAcentral.
AGCUCCAGUAGCGUAUAUUAAAGUUGUUGCAGUUAAAAAGCUCGUAGUUGGAUUUCUGGUUUGAUGCGUUUGGCCCUCCCGGGUUUCCACUCGGCGUGCGUGCCGAUGCGCGUCUGCCAUCCUCGUUGAGAACGUUUCUACCCUUCACUGGGCCGGAUUCGCGAUCAGCGUCCUUUACUUUGAAAAAAUUAGAGUGUUUAAAGCAGGCUUGUGCUAUGAAUACAUUAGCAUGGAAUAAUAAUUUAGGACUUUAGUUCUAUUUUGUUGGUUUCUAGAGCUGAAGUAAUGAUUGAUAGGGAUAGUUGGGGGUGCUAGUAUUCAGUGGCCAGAGGUGAAAUUCUUGGAUUCACUGAAGACUAACUUAUGCGAAAGCAUUCACCAAGGAUGUCUCCU